RNAcentral lists this ribosomal RNA (400 nucleotides) under uncultured bacterium. RNAcentral's name for it is "bacterial SSU rRNA". It matches the Rfam family "Bacterial small subunit ribosomal RNA", at positions 356 to 773 of the family's 1533-position model. The record is from RNAcentral.
GGGGAAUCUUGCGCAAUGGGCGAAAGCCUGACGCAGCCAUGCCGCGUGAAUGAUGAAGGUCUUAGGAUUGUAAAAUUCUUUCACCGGGGACGAUAAUGACGGUACCCGGAGAAGAAGCCCCGGCUAACUUCGUGCCAGCAGCCGCGGUAAUACGAAGGGGGCUAGCGUUGCUCGGAAUUACUGGGCGUAAAGGGCGCGUAGGCGGACACUUAAGUCAGGGGUGAAAUCCCGGGGCUCAACCCCGGAAUUGCCUUUGAUACUGGGUGUCUUGAGUACGGGAGAGGUGUGUGGAACUCCGAGUGUAGAGGUGAAAUUCGUAGAUAUUCGGAAGAACACCAGUGGCGAAGGCGACACACUGGCCCGUUACUGACGCUGAGGCGCGAAAGCGUGGGGAGCAAAC